AAAGACGAUAUCCAGAGCUGAGAUGGAGCAUUGAGAUGAGGGUCACGGCAGGACUAAAACCCAGCAAUCCUCCUCUGAUACACUUUAUGGUGUUCGAUUUUCCUGUUACUCAUGGUGCUGCUAGAGACGGUUAGAGACCCCGACAGGAACGAGUGGGCUAUUUUUGUGUUAAAAAGACAACUUCUGAAAAUGCGGGAAGCAAAUCUGAAUCAUGGAACAGGAUGAAGAGUUGUGACAAUUGCACUACCUCUGUAUUCAAGGACUCCAUAUAGGAUUUUGUGAAGCACUUCAGAAGCAACAUAAGGUAAGACUUGUUUACUAUGGAAAUGCAUGUAUUUUUAUUUAUAUAUUUAUUUACUUAUUUAUUGUUUUAGCCUUGGCUGGCUAUACAUCUAUUUAUUACAAGUCUUACACAGAGCUGUGUUUUGCACCUGAUACAUAAUGUCAGCCUCAGCUUACAUGUUUGUCAUGAUUAAAUUAUAUAAACUGAAGUCUAUAUAAAAUUAAAAAUCUACACUGUGAUUGUUUGAAAAUUUAUAUCUGUACUUACCAGUAGAUGCAGUUAGUUUUCUGAAACGGAUUCCUUUUUAGGUUAAAAAUAACUGAAGUCUUAUUCAUUGCUCUGCUGAGACUCCUCCUGCACAGAGAUUCAACUCCUGCACACACACACCCUGAAUUUGUAUGUGCAGCUGGCAGCUCUGCUUGCCUCAGGUCAGGUCAUGCCCAACAACAACCCCUGCUACAUCACCAGCUGAGCCAAAACCCACAGUCAGUGAGAGCCAAAGGCAGCUGGUGACCAGAAUUGACCGUAGGUGACUUCUACUUUUAAACAUAACAGGAUCUGGACUAGAAGUUUAGCAUUUCAUUUUUAGAUGGAAGAUGGCUAUUUUAAAGGCUAUUUUUUUCAUCCAUCCAUUAUCUGUAGCCGCUUAUCCUGUUCUACAGGGUCGCAGGCAAGCUGGAGCCUAUCCCAGCUGACUAUGGGUGAGAGACAGGGUACACCCUGGACAAGUUGCCAGGUUAUCGCAGGGCUGACACAGAGACAAACAACCAUUCACAUUCACACCUACGGUCAAUUUAGAGCCACCAACAGACCCGUUGCAACAAGGUAGGCAGACUUGGCAAUUGCCUAGGGCCCCAGCCCUCGAAGGGCCCCCGCUGCCGAACGACUGGUUAUGUAUUCAAUAACAAUGACAACUUUUUGAGCGCGGCAGCGCAGCACCUAAUGACACUUGUUGAAAUACCCUAGUUCCAAGGGGGGCCCCCUAAUGCACAACAGCGCCUCCCUACAUGCUUUGGCCGAAAAGUGCAAUGACAGUCUGUUGUCAACCCCUCAAUGCCCAUCUCCGUCCAGUCAAGUGGUUGCAGAGCUCCGCGGCAAAAAAACAAAAAUCAAAUAUGAAGCGAAAUUACCCCUCAGGGAGCCAGAAGAGAAAGAAGAAAAGGGAAGAGGAAGACAGAAAAAAAACAAGACACUGGUAAGUGAGAAUGUACACACUCAUUAAUACCAAGCGGGUCGACAAGCAAAUUUGGUAGCUAGCUUACGUUAAUGGUAGUUAUCUUGUAGACAGUGUUUAUAACAGUGAUGUAAACGUUGUCAUGCACAACAGGCUUACAAACUUGCAAGGACUGGCUAAAAAUUCUAAUAUGUGCCACACAAAUAGGUGAAAGACUGUCAACUUCUCCCAGAUUAACUUGUGUUUAUCAAAAUGUCAUAGUCAGAGUUAGUUUCAGCAAGCUGCAUGGCUUUCAUCAGAAGUAGCUAGUGUGUCGUGAGCAUGAAUGGAGUAGGACAGGGGAUGGCUCACAAGAAAGCUCUUUUUUACAUAAAUAGCCUAUUUAUGUAAAAAAGUGGCACUGAUGUCAAUUGAAUGUGAUGUCCGCAGGUCUUUGGACAUGGAGGGUAUUGUGGCUGCCUUUGCUGAAGCCAAAGCCCGCAAGCAGCAGUUUUAGACAUUUUGCCCAUGGUUCUAGUUGUGUGUUCUUAAAUUUUUGUGUGUUUUUCUAUACCUUUUGCACUUGUGUGUGUGCUGGUUCUUAUUAAGAUUCUUAUUCAUGUUUGUAAUCAUUUAAUCACCAUUUGAAGUUAUUUCUACUUGUGUAU
Neoarius graeffei (lesser salmon catfish) is the source of this 2104-nucleotide long non-coding RNA. RefSeq lists it as uncharacterized. NCBI's taxonomy places the organism in Eukaryota, Metazoa, Chordata, Actinopteri, Siluriformes, Ariidae. The transcript is spliced from 3 exons. The record is from RefSeq and is a predicted model, not a curated record.